GUGCCAGCCGCGGCGGUAAUACGUAGGUGGCAAGCGUUGUCCGGAUUUAUUGGGCGUAAAGCGAGCGCAGGCGGUUUCUUAAGUCUGAUGUGAAAGCCCCCGGCUCAACCGGGGAGGGUCAUUGGAAACUGGGAAACUUGAGUGCAGAAGAGGAGAGUGGAAUUCCAUGUGUAGCGGUGAAAUGCGUAGAUAUAUGGAGGAACACCAGUGGCGAAAGGCGGCUCUCUGGUCUGUAACUGACGCUGAGGCUCGAAAGCGUGGGGAGCAAACAGGAUUAGAUACCCUGGUAGUCCACGCCGUAAACGAUGAGUGCUAAGUGUUGGAGGGUUUCCGCCCUUCAGUGCUGCAGCUAACGCAUUAAGCACUCCGCCUGGGGAGUACGACCGCAAGGUUGAAACUCAAAGGAA
This 407-nucleotide ribosomal RNA is filed under the name uncultured Enterococcus sp. RNAcentral describes it as "bacterial SSU rRNA". It matches the Rfam family "Bacterial small subunit ribosomal RNA", at positions 505 to 909 of the family's 1533-position model. The record is from RNAcentral. Lineage: Bacteria; Bacillati; Bacillota; Bacilli; Lactobacillales; Enterococcaceae.